This 232-nucleotide ribosomal RNA is filed under the name uncultured bacterium. RNAcentral's name for it is "partial 16S ribosomal RNA". It matches the Rfam family "Bacterial small subunit ribosomal RNA", at positions 524 to 754 of the family's 1533-position model. The record is from RNAcentral.
UACGUAGGGGGCAAGCGUUGUCCGGAAUCAUUGGGCGUAAAGAGCGUGUAGGCGGCCCGGUAAGUCCGCUGUGAAAGUCCAGGGCUCAACCCUGGGAUGCCGGUGGAUACUGUCGGGCUCGAGUCCGGAAGAGGAGUGUGGAAUUCCUGGUGUAGCGGUGAAAUGCGGCAGAUAUCAGGAGGAACACCAAUGGCGAAGGCAGCACUCUGGGACGUGACUGACGCUGAGACGC